GGAACCAAGGUGACGUGCAAGUUGGCACAUGUGAAGCUUUGUCGGAGCCAUUCCUGCUCUUCCAGAGCCACAAGGAGAGCCUAAAAGUCAGGGCAGAAGCGUGUCCAGCUGUCGUACGAGAAGAAGUGUGCACGGCUGAGGAGCCAGGGCGCCAAUGGUGCGGAGUCGUUCGCCAUCAAGAGGACCAAAGCUGCCAUCAGGGACCACCGGAUCAAGCUCAACAUCUCCCUCGCCUCCGUCAACGCCCUGUCCCAGAGGGUCGUCGCCGUCCACGAUGAGCCCGCAGCUCACGGAGCUCAUCCAAAUGCGGGCAAGGAUGUGGCGACUCAUCGGCGACGUGCACCAGGUGAUGUAGCGCAUAGCGGACGAGGUGAGCGUGCUCCUCUCGUUGUUGGCCACAUGGUUGGAGGGAGGCAUCAAGGGCUCGCUACUACCGGGGCGGACGUGCGCACAAUUUAUAUUGAUAUAUCUUAUUUUGCCAAACAACAAGAUAUAUGCUCCUGAUGCUAUUAACCUGACAGGGAAUUUCAGUUUCUUUCACAUGAUACAUCAAUAAAUAU
Molecule: RNA transcript, 560 nt
Organism: Triticum dicoccoides
Lineage: Eukaryota; Viridiplantae; Streptophyta; Magnoliopsida; Poales; Poaceae
Exons: 3
Source: RefSeq, a predicted model, not a curated record